This 615-nucleotide ribosomal RNA is filed under the name Hanseniaspora thailandica (nom. inval.). RNAcentral's name for it is "eukaryotic LSU rRNA". It matches the Rfam family "Eukaryotic large subunit ribosomal RNA", at positions 38 to 667 of the family's 3401-position model. The record is from RNAcentral. Lineage: Eukaryota; Fungi; Ascomycota; Saccharomycetes; Saccharomycodales; Saccharomycodaceae.
GCAUAUCAAUAAGCGGAGGAAAAGAAACCAACUGGGAUUACCUUAGUAACGGCGAGUGAAGCGGUAAAAGCUCAAAUUUGAAAUCUGGUACUUUCAGUGCCCGAGUUGUAAUUUGUAGAAUUUGUCUUUGAUUAGGUCCUUGUCUAUGUUCCUUGGAACAGGACGUCAUAGAGGGUGAGAAUCCCGUUUGGCGAGGAUACCUUUUCUCUGUAAGACUUUUUCGAAGAGUCGAGUUGUUUGGGAAUGCAGCUCAAAGUGGGUGGUAAAUUCCAUCUAAAGCUAAAUAUUGGCGAGAGACCGAUAGCGAACAAGUACAGUGAUGGAAAGAUGAAAAGAACUUUGAAAAGAGAGUGAAAAAGUACGUGAAAUUGUUGAAAGGGAAGGGCAUUUGAUCAGACAUGGUGUUUUUUUAAUGUGCAAGUCUCUCGUGGACAUGUGCCUCUGGAAAUUAACACUGGGCCAACAUCAGUUCUGGCGGCAGGAUAAAUCAUUAAGAAUGUAGCUACCUCGGUAGUGUUAUAGCUUUUUGGAAUACUGCCAGCUGGGAUUGAGGACUGCGCUUCGGCAAGGAUGUUGGCAUAAUGGUUAAAUGCCGCCCGUCUUGAAACACGGACC